UACGUAGGGGGCGAGCGUUGUCCGGAAUCACUGGGCGUAAAGGGCGCGUAGGCGGCCCGGGGCAUCCGGCGUGAAAUCUCCCCGCUCAACGGGGAGGGGUCGGCGGAGAUGGCCGGGCUGGAGGGCGGUAGAGGCGGAUGGAAGUCCCGAAGUAGUGGUGAAAUGCGUAGAGAUCGGGAGGAACACCAGAGGCGAAGGCGAUCCGCUGGGCCGGCCCUGACGCUGAGGCGCGACAGCCAGGGGAGCGAACGG
Molecule: ribosomal RNA, 252 nt
Filed under: uncultured bacterium
Lineage: Bacteria
Description: partial 16S ribosomal RNA
Rfam family: Bacterial small subunit ribosomal RNA
Source: RNAcentral